Molecule: long non-coding RNA, 434 nt
Organism: Pipra filicauda (Wire-tailed manakin)
Lineage: Eukaryota; Metazoa; Chordata; Aves; Passeriformes; Pipridae
Exons: 2
Source: RefSeq, a predicted model, not a curated record
UCACCUCAUCUGAGUUGCAAGAAGAUUCAGUACCAUUUACCCUUGUCUGGGAAGAACCAAGACUGAGGAGUGGAUUUCACUUCACUCAUCCAGCUGCUCAUAGUCCUCAGACAUGCCUUGAAAAAGAAAGGUCUGUUCAGAUGUGAAUAUCAGAGAUAAGCCACAAAGGACAGAAAUACGUUUGUCACCUAACUGCACUAGGUCUAUUGUGACAAAGGAUGUCUGCAGAGCCACAGUGAAGACACCAUCAGUGUUGGAGUCAAGUUUACGCAGGAGGUGUGUGAGCCAGAAAAAUGAAUCUGGCUGUGUAGCAUACACAAGAAGUGAAUUCCUAGACUGUUCAUUAAUGAAGCCUGGAGACUGGGAAGAUUAUUGCAAUAGGAAUUAUGUUUAAUGAAGGAGGCAUCUGCUUUGGAGGAGUAGUGUAUGUCCUA